This 507-nucleotide ribosomal RNA is filed under the name uncultured bacterium. RNAcentral describes it as "bacterial SSU rRNA". It matches the Rfam family "Bacterial small subunit ribosomal RNA", at positions 29 to 526 of the family's 1533-position model. The record is from RNAcentral.
AACGAACGCUGGCGGCACGUUUUAAGCAUGCAAGUCGAACGGUAGCAGGGGUAACCCUGUGAGAGUGGCGAACGGGUGCGUAACACGUAGGUGAUCUAACCUAGUAGUUGGGGAUAGCUUGUGGAAACAUGGGGUAAUACCGAAUAACCUGUUUGAGCUAUGGUUUAUACAGGAAAGGCGCUAAGGCGCCGCUACAGGAGGAGCCUGCGGCUGAUUAGCUAGUUGGUGGGGUAAAAGCCUACCAAGGCGAUGAUCAGUAGCCGGCCUGAGAGGGUGUACGGCCACACUGGGACUGAGACACGGCCCAGACUCCUACGGGAGGCAGCAGCUAAGAAUCUUCCGCAAUGGGCGAAAGCCUGACGGAGCGAUGCCGCGUGAUUGAAGAAGGUCGAGAGAUUGUAAAGAUCUUUUCCACUUGAGGAAUAAGUCUAGGAGGGAAUGCCUUGAUGAUGACGUUAGAGUGGGAAUAAGCCCUGGCUAAUUACGUGCCAGCCGCCGCGGUAAGAC